GGGGUGGGCAAGUCUGGUGUCAGCCGCCGCGGUAAUACCAGCACCCCGAGUGGUCGGGACGAUUAUUGGGCCUAAAGCAUCCGUAGCCGGUUUUGCAAGUCUUCCGUUAAAUCCACCUGCUUAACAGAUGGGCUGCGGAGGAUACUACAAGGCUAGGGGGCGGGAGAGGCAAGCGGUACUCAGUGGGUAGGGGUAAAAUCCUCUGAUCCAUUGAAGACCACCAGUGGCGAAGGCGGCUUGCCAGAACGCGCUCGACGGUGAGGGAUGAAAGCUGGGGGAGCAAACCGGAUUAGAUACCCGGGUAGUCCCAGCUGUAAACGAUGCAGACUCGGUGAUGGGCCGGCUUUAUGCCGGCUCAGUGCCGCAGGGAAGCCGUUAAGUCUGCCGCCUGGGGAGUACGGUCGCAAGACUGAAACUUAAAGGGAAUUGGCGGGGGAGCACCACAAGGGGUGAAGCCUGCGGUUCAAUUGGAGUCAACGCCGGAAAUCUUACCGGGGGCGACAGCAGAGUGAAGGUCAAGCUGAAGACUUUACCAGACAAGCUGAGAGGAGGUGCAUGGCCGUCGCCAGCUCGUGCCGUGAGGUGUCCUGUUAAGUCAGGUAACGAGCGAGAUCCCUGCUUUUAGUUGCUACCACUACUCUCAGGAGGAGUGGGGCUAAUUAAAGGGACUGCCGCCGCUAAGGCGGAGGAAGGAGGGGGCUACGGCAGGUCAGUAUGCCCCGAAACCCUCGGGCCACACGCGGGCUGCAAUGGUAAGGACAAUGGGUUCCGAUUCCGAAAGGAGGAGGCAAUCCCUAAAC
Molecule: ribosomal RNA, 800 nt
Filed under: uncultured crenarchaeote
Lineage: Archaea; Thermoproteati; Thermoproteota
Description: bacterial SSU rRNA
Rfam family: Archaeal small subunit ribosomal RNA
Source: RNAcentral